GUUAAGUUUGCUGAAAAUAAACGCAGUUGACAGUGUGAGAGGACAUUUCUUUUUUUGCUAAGUUUAUAUGUUUUUGUAAGGCUUUAGGUGGCUACUGUAGUAUCUGAAGAGGAAGGGCUCCCCUCCAUUUCUGUAGGUACAACCAGAGAUAGAGGGAGGUGGAGAACAGUGGGAGGUGAAGGAUUCAUUUGUAACAAUUCUCGUAGUCACCGAAGUGGUCCCUCUGUCAGACCCACAGUGUCUCUGCUCCACCCAGUCCUCUGAGCAGCUCUCCGGGGGCUAGGCCACACUGGCCUGCCUGCUGAGUGGCUUCUCCCCCCAGGGGGCGAUGGCGAGCUGGGAGGUGGACGGGGCGGAGGUGACGGAGUGCGUCCUGACCACCACAGAAGAAGAGAAGAGCGGCCGCUACAGCCACAGCAGCACCCUGACACUGAGCAAGGCAAGCUGGGAACAGGGAGAGGUGUACACCUGCACGGUCGCCCAUGACGACACCAGUUAUUCGGACGCCUUCUGGAGAAGUCACUGUAGUGACUAGAGGCCGGAGAAGCCAUUGUAGGGGUCUACAGAGUCCCCACAUGUUGCUAGUUCUGGCAACAGUGUUUUAGAGCUGAAUGUUACAGUAUAAUAGUGAAUAAUAUAGUUAGUGCUGUGUGCUAAAUGAACUAUUUUGAGAUGAAAAAUCCAAGAUGGCGUAGCAGUCAGACGUCUUUGUCUUGUCGUGUCCCGUGUAUAUAUAGAUUUUUUGUUCGUAUAUAUUUCGUAUAUAUUUUUUGGAGUUUUAACCUCAAUUUCAACAUACUCUCCUACAACCCGCCUCACCAAAUGUGGUAUGGAUCUGCUAUUUUCUAUACUUUAGAACCGGAACCCUCAACAGAAGCUAGCCAGCUAACUAGCUACUAGCUAGUAGUCAGUUAGCCACUGCUAGCGGUCAUCAGCUAACCUCAGCCCGGUCAACUCCUGCCAGUCUGCACUGCGCGAUUCAACCCAGAGCAUAUUGGACUACUUUUUCUCUACCACAUCUCCACAUCUCCGGAUUCCUACCGCAAGCUCUGAACCUUUUCACCUGGAUCAUCACAGCUAGCUAGCUGCUAUCCCAGUGGCUACUCCUGGCUAAUGUUAACGUUGGAAGCCUCCUCCCUAAGUUUGUUUUAUUCACUGCUUUAGCACAAUCUGCCAACCCGGAUGUCCUGGCCUUGUCUGAAUCUUGGCUUAGGAAGGCCACCAAAAAUCCUGUCAUUUCCAUCCCUAACUAUAACAUUUUCCGACAAGAUAGAACUGCCAAGGGGGCGGAGUUGCAAUCUACUGCAGAGAUAGCCUGCAGAGUUCUGUCAUACUAUCCAGGUCUUCUACUUUUAAAAAUCCACUUUUCCAGAAACAAGUCUCUCACCAUUACCGCUUGUUAUAGACCACCCUCAGCCCCCAGCUGUGCCCUGGACACCAUAUGUGAAUUGAUUGCCCCCCAUCUAUCUGAGCUCGUACUGUUAGGUGACCUAAGCUGCGACAUGUUUAACACCCUGUCCAACAAUCUAAGAUAGAUACCCUCAAUCUCACACAAAUUAUCAUUGAACCUACCAGGUACAACCCCAAAUCCGUAACCACGGGUACCCUCAUAGAUAUCAUCCUGACCAACUUGCCCUCUAAAUACACCUCUGCUGUCUUCAACCAGGAUCUCAGCGAUCACUGCCUCAUUGCCUGCGUCCGUAAUGGGUCUGCGGUCAAACGACCACCUCUCAUCACUGUCAAAUGCUCCCUAAAACACUUCAGCGAGCAGGACUUUCUAAUCAACCUGGCCCGGGUAUCCUGGAAGGAUAUUGACCUCAUCCCGUCAGUAGAGUAUGCCUGGUAAUUCUUUAAAAGUGCUUUCCUCACCAUCUUAAAUAAGCAUGCCCCAUUCAAUUUUUUUUAACCAGAACAGAUAUAGCCCUUGGUUCACUCCAGACCUGACUGCCCUUGACCAGCACAAAAACAUCCUGUGGCGAACAGCGAACAGCCCCCACGAUAUGCAACUUUUCAGGGAAGUUAGGAACCAAUAUAUACAGGCAGUUAGGAAAGCAAAGGCUAGCUUUUUCAAACAGAAAUUUGCGUCCUGUAGCACAAGCUCCAAAAAGUUCUGGGACACUGUGAAGUCCAUGGAGAACAAGAGCACCUCCUCCCAGCUGCCCGCUGCACUGAGGCUAGGAAACACUGUCACCACCGAUAAAUCCACUAUAAUUGAGAAUUUCAAUAAGCAUUUUUCUACGGCUGGCCAUGCUUUCUGGCCAUACAUCCCUACCCCGGUCAACAGCUCUGCACCCCCCACAGCAACUUGACCAAGCCUCCCCCAUUUCUCCUUCACCCAAAUCCAGAUAGCUGAUGUUCUGAAAGAGCUGCAAAAUCUGGACAACUACAAAUCAGCUGGGCUAGACAAUCUGGACCCUCUCUUUAUAAAAUUAUCCGCCGCAAUUGUUGCAUCCCCUAUGACUAGCUUGUUCAUCCUCUCUUUCCUAACGUCUGAGAUCCCCAAAGAUUGGAAAGCUGCCGCGGUCAUCCCCCUCCUCAAAGGGUAGACACUCUAGACCCAAACUGUUACAGACCUAUAUCUAUCCUACCCUGCCUUUCUAAGGUCUUCGAAAGUCAAGUUAACAAACAGAUCACCGACCAUUUUGAAUCCCACCGUACCUUCUCCGCUAUGCAAUCUGGUUUCUGAGCUGGUCAUGUGUGCACCUAAGCCACGCUCAAGGUCCUAAACGAUAUCAUAAUCACCAUCGAUAAAAUACAAUACUGUGCAGCCGUCUUCAUCGACCUGGCCAAAGCUUUCGACUCUGUCAAUCACCACAUUCUUAUCGGCAGACUCAACAGCCUUGGUUUCUCAAAUGACUGCCUCGCCUGGUUCACCAACUACUUCUCAGACAGAGUUCAGUGUGUCAAAUCGGUGAGCCUGUUGUCCAGACCUCUGGCAGUUUCUAUGGGGGUGCCACAGGGUUCAAUUCUCGGGCCGACUCUUUUCUCUAUAUACAUCAAUGAUGUCGCUCUUGCUGCUGGUGAUUCUCUGAUCCACCUCUACGCAGACGACACCAUUCUGUAUACUUCUGGCCAUUCUUUGGACACUGUAACCUCCAAAUGAUCUUCAACGCCAUACAACUCUCCUUCCGUGGCCUCCAACUGCUCUUAAAUGCAAGUAAAACCAAAUGCAUGCUCUUCAACUGAUCGCAUCUGUCCGCCCGUCACUACUCUGGAUGGUUCUGACUUAGAAUAUGUGGACAACUACAAAUACCUAGGUGUCUGGUUAGACUGUAAACUCUCCUUCCAGACUCACAUUAAGCAUCUCCAAUCCAAAAUUAAAUCUAGAAUCAGCUUCCUAUUUUGCAACAAAGCAUCUACUCAUGCUGCCAAACAUACCCUCGUAAAACCGACUAUCCUACCGAUCCUUGACUUCGGCAAUGUCAUUUACAAAAUAGCCUCCAACACUCUACUCAGCAAAAUGGAUGCAGUCUAUCACAGUGCCAACCGUUUUGUCACCAAAGCCCCAUAUACUACCCACCACUGCGACCUGUUUGCUCUCGUUGGCUGGCCCUCGCUUCAUAUUCAUCGCCAAAACCACUGGCUCCAGGUCAUCUAUAAGUCUUUGCUAGGUAAAACCCCGCCUUAUCUCAGCUCACUGGUCACCAUAGCAGCACCCACCCAUAGCACUCACUCCAGCAGGUAUAUUUCAUUGGUCACCCCCAAAGCCAAUUUUUACUUUGGCCGCCUUUCCUUCCCGUUCUCUGCUGCCAAUGACUAGAACGAAUUGCAAAAAUCACUGAAGCUGGAUACUUAUAUCUCCCUCACUAACUUUAAGCAUCAGCUGUCAGAGCAGCUUACAGAAGUUUCACCUGUACAUAGCCCAUCUGUAAAUAGCCCAUCCAACUACCUCAUCCCCAUAUUGCUAUUUAUUUAUUUUUGCUCCUUUGCACACCAGUAUCUCUACUAGUAUCUCUAGUAUGUUUGUUUAUUCCAUGUGUAACUCUGUGUUGUUGUUUGUGUCGCACUGCUUUGCUUUAUCUUGGCCAGGUCGCAGUUGUAUAUGAGAACUUGUUCUCAACUGGCCUACCUGGUUAAAUAAAGGUGAAAUAAAUUAAAUUAAAUUAAAAA
Molecule: long non-coding RNA, 4110 nt
Filed under: Salmo salar (Atlantic salmon)
Lineage: Eukaryota; Metazoa; Chordata; Actinopteri; Salmoniformes; Salmonidae
Description: lncRNA (ENSSSAG00000115405.1)
Source: RNAcentral